RNAcentral lists this ribosomal RNA (255 nucleotides) under uncultured bacterium. Its description in RNAcentral is "partial 16S ribosomal RNA". It matches the Rfam family "Bacterial small subunit ribosomal RNA", at positions 524 to 776 of the family's 1533-position model. The record is from RNAcentral.
UACGUAGGGGGGCAAGCGUUGUCCGGAAUCAUUGGGCGUAAAGCGCGCGUAGACGGCCCGGUAAGUCCGCUGUAAAAAGUCCAGGGCUCAACCCUGGAAAGCCGGUGGAUACUGUCGGGCUAGAGUCCGGAAGGAGGCGAGUGAAUUCCUGGUGUAGCGGUGGAAUGCGCAGAUAUCGGGAAGAACACCCGUGGCGAAGGCGGCUCUCUGGGACGGUACUGACGCUGAGACGCGAAAGCGUGGGGAGCGAACAGG